CCUACGGGUGGCAGCAGUGGGGAAUAUUGGGCAAUGGGCGCAAGCCUGACCCAGCAACGCCGCGUGAAGGAAGAAGGCUCUCUGGGUUGAAACUUCCUUUCUUAGGGACGAAGAAAUUGACGGUACUUCAGGAAUAAGCCACCGCUAACUACGAGCCAGCAGCCGCGGUAAUACGUCGGUGGCAAGCGUUAUCCGGAUUUAUUGGGUGUAAAGGGCGCGUAGGCGGGAAAGCAAGUCAGAUGUGAAAACUCAGGGCUCAACCCUGGGACGGCAUUUGAUACUGUUUUUCUUGAGUGCUGGUGAGGCAAGCGGAAUUCAGGGUGUAGCGGUGAAAUGCGUAGAUAUAAGGAGGAACACCAGUGGCGAAGGCGGAUUGCUGGACAGUAACUGACGCUGAGGCGCGAAAGCGUGGGGAGCAAACAGGAUUAGAUACCCCUGUAGUC
Molecule: ribosomal RNA, 443 nt
Filed under: uncultured bacterium
Lineage: Bacteria
Description: partial 16S ribosomal RNA
Rfam family: Bacterial small subunit ribosomal RNA
Source: RNAcentral